RNAcentral lists this ribosomal RNA (403 nucleotides) under uncultured bacterium. Its description in RNAcentral is "partial 16S ribosomal RNA". It matches the Rfam family "Bacterial small subunit ribosomal RNA", at positions 28 to 526 of the family's 1533-position model. The record is from RNAcentral.
GACGAACGCUGGCGGCGUGCCUAAUACAUGCAAGUCGAACGCAGUGGGGACGGGUGAGUAACACGUGGGUAACCUCCCAUCAGAGGGGAUAACACUUGGAAACAGGUGCUAAACCGAUACUGAUGGAUGGACCCGGGGUGCAUUAGCUAGUUGGUGAGGUAACGGCUCACCAAGGCCACGAUGCAUAGCCGGUCUGAGAGGGGGAUCGGCCACACUGGGACUGAGACACGGCCCAGACUCCUACGGGAGGCAGCAGUAGGGAAUCUUCGGCAAUGGGCGCAAGUCUGAUCGAGCAACGCCGCGUGAAUGAAGAAGGUUUUCGGAUCGUAAAGCUCUGUUGUUAGGGAAGCGUUAUCUAAAGAAAAAGCAACGGCUAACUACGUGCCAGCCGCCGCGGUAAUAC